RNAcentral lists this ribosomal RNA (216 nucleotides) under uncultured bacterium. RNAcentral describes it as "partial 16S ribosomal RNA". It matches the Rfam family "Bacterial small subunit ribosomal RNA", at positions 119 to 334 of the family's 1533-position model. The record is from RNAcentral.
GAGAAAUCUGCCCCAAACUUGGGAAUAACAGUCGGAAACGACUGCUAAUACCGAAUACCUUCACGACGUCGCAUGGCGAUGUGAAGAAAGCUUUAUGCGGUUUGGGAGGAUCUCGCGGCCUGUCAGCUAGUUGGUGAGGUAACGGCUCACCAAGGCAUCGACGGGUAGCUGGUCUGAGAGGAUGAUCAGCCACACUGGAACUGAGACACGGUCCAG